Molecule: long non-coding RNA, 766 nt
Organism: Canis lupus familiaris (dog)
Lineage: Eukaryota; Metazoa; Chordata; Mammalia; Carnivora; Canidae
Exons: 2
Source: RefSeq, a predicted model, not a curated record
GCCAUCUCCUAGAGACCAGGCGAUAAUGGAUCCCUCCAUGGAAGUGGUGCAGUUAUCCCUCUUCAUGUCCUGAAAGGCAUCUGGCACCGGGGAUGAAAGCUUUAUAAAGGGAUAAUUGGCAGACAAGACAUCGUGAUUAAAGUGUACAAUUGGAUAAGGGCUGACAUCUGUAUGGAUCCCUGAAACCACCAGCUUGAUGAAGACAGUGAACAUAUCCAUCACCUCCCCAAGCUUCCUUGUGCCCUUGGUGGGUGAUUUCUCCCUCCCUCACCUUUAUCCUACCUACCCUCUGUCCUCAGGGCAACCACUGAUCUGUCUGCGGUCACCAAGGAUUUGUUAGUUUAGCAUUACUUCUAAUAAUCUACAACUAAACUAAAAUCAUCCUUCUCAUGCAAUUAAAAAAAGAAAAGAUUUGCUUUGUUUCCUGACGGGAAGAAAAAGUAACAAUGCUGGAGCAAAGGGUGACACACAGGUCAUUAGAAAGCACUUUUAAUUGAGUAAUGAUUGUGCAGAUUCUCUUUCAUAUUCUACAGCCUGAUGCUAAUUGGAUUAAAGAGUCAAGAAUCCAGGAAAUGAAGUAAAAGAGGAGGUGUGUUGAUUUUAAUAAAUAGGGUUUUUUUUUUCCUGUCUCAUCUGUCAGCUUAUUUCUAAUUAAUAAAUGGAUCUUCAAAACCUGGCCAAAAGUAAGCACUGUUCAAAUAAAUUAGAUGGCUCUUAAAAAAAAAAAAGGCAGCUCUAUCUUGGAGUUCUAUGUCAAUAAUAAAGC